GUGUCAGCAGCCGCGGUAAUACGUAGGGGGCGAGCGUUAUCCGGAUUUACUGGGCGUAAAGCGCGUUAAGGCGGCCGGCAAAGUUGGUGGUGAAAUUUCAGGGCUCAACUCUGAAACUGCCUCCAAUACUGGUCGGCUCGAGUGCGAGAGAGGAAGGUGGAAUUCCCGGUGUAGUAGUGAAAUGCGUAGAUAUCGGGAGGAACACCAGUGGCGAAGGCGGCCUUCUGGCUCGCAACUGACGCUGUAGCGCGAAAGCGUGGGGAGCGAACGGGAUUAGAUACCCCAGUAGUCC
RNAcentral lists this ribosomal RNA (292 nucleotides) under uncultured bacterium. Its description in RNAcentral is "partial 16S ribosomal RNA". It matches the Rfam family "Bacterial small subunit ribosomal RNA", at positions 505 to 796 of the family's 1533-position model. The record is from RNAcentral.